RNAcentral lists this ribosomal RNA (386 nucleotides) under uncultured bacterium. RNAcentral describes it as "bacterial SSU rRNA". It matches the Rfam family "Bacterial small subunit ribosomal RNA", at positions 29 to 416 of the family's 1533-position model. The record is from RNAcentral.
AUUGAACGCUGGCGGAAUGCUUUACACAUGCAAGUCGAGCGGCAGCGCGGGGGCAACCCUGGCGGCGAGCGGCGAACGGGUGAGUAACAUAUCGGAACGUACCCUGUCGUGGGGGAUAACUAUCCGAAAGGAUAGCUAAUACCGCAUACGACCUGAGGGUGAAAGCGGGGGACCGCAAGGCCUCGCGCGAUAGGAGCGGCCGAUAUCAGAUUAGCUAGUUGGUGAGGUAAAGGCUCACCAAGGCGACGAUCUGUAGCGGGUCUGAGAGGAUGAUCCGCCACACUGGAACUGAGACACGGUCCAGACUCCUACGGGAGGCAGCAGUGGGGAAUUUUGGACAAUGGGCGCAAGCUUGAUCCAGCCAUGCCGCGUGAGUGAAGAAGGCC